This is a long non-coding RNA of Harpia harpyja (harpy eagle), 1252 nucleotides long. RefSeq lists it as uncharacterized. The transcript is spliced from 3 exons. NCBI's taxonomy places the organism in Eukaryota, Metazoa, Chordata, Aves, Accipitriformes, Accipitridae. The record is from RefSeq and is a predicted model, not a curated record.
UACCAAUGGAGUCGCAUGAAAAAAAUACCAGCACUUUCAUUCAAUCAUUUUCCAAGCCCUAAAGGGAACGAGCAAGCUGCAGUACCUCAAGAAUCAGAUUUUGCAAAUUCAAGCUUCUCCUCUUUCUUCAGUUACUGGCAAAAAGCACCCUUUAGGUACAUAUAAAAGCACUAAAGCCUUGCUUUAAAACAAAGCACUGCUGUGUAACGAAUGAGCCUGAAUCAUACACGCUUAUCACAAGCCCAGCAGUUAGCACUGAGCCAACAGCUAGAAACACUGCUACCACACUCAUGCUUCUCAGUUCUAGCCAGUUGCUCUGUUUAAAAUGAAAGUAAUAGGCUACCAGUUCCCCAACCAGUAUUUGUAUCGCUAUUAUAAAUGGUUAUCUGUUAUCAGCAGAGAAGAGUCGAUACUUAAUGCAGUAGCUAAAGUCCAGCUCUCACGGUUUCAUGGCUGAGGGGAGAGGAGGGAGAGGGAUGCUAAGGAGCAGGACUCGGACCACAGAUCCUUCCCACCAGGAAGCACAGCACCAACGAGCAGCCAACCAGCUCAUUUAUCAAAGAGCAGAAGGAUCUUUCAGGGCAACAGGAGUGGAAUGGCCUUUCCUAGGAAUACCUUUGCAUUGCAGAUCUUACCACCUCCUUCCAUACACGCACAAUUUAUUUAUUUGACCUGCCCGUUCCAAAAAGAGCUAUGCUCAACAAACAAGACCUAUGAAGAAACCACAGUGGCCUCGACUCUUUCUCCAGUUACUUUCCUCUGAUAGCACACAGGUGCAAACCAUAUGACAGAGCAGGCCAAGUGGAAUGAUGGCAGUUCCUAUAUCCCUGGAAGCUCCUUAAAACACAGGAUUCAGGCUCUGCUGUCAUCAUGAGAGUCAAUGAAAUCUUCAACUUGAGAAGUCCUUUUUGAUUCUUCAAAGAAUACAGAGACACGUACUGGCACAACAACGUGUUAGCGAGCCGUCUUAAGCGAGCGUUUAUACUAAGGAGUAUAAUGCUGAAAAACUCUCACUACGCCAGGAAGAGGAAUGAAAAUACGUAAGCACAAAAAUCAACACCCUAGAAAAGCUUGGAAGCGCUCAGGUCUCCGGAGGAGAUUUCAUCUAGAACCUCUGCAGCAACUGAGUUACUGCACCUUCCGCUCCAGCUCCAUUAGUCCACGCACUUGCAAAAAAGUUGUCCGCUGCUUCACUGAAAGGUUUACAUUAAGAGAGAAGUCUGGUGCCCAGGAGAAAUGUCCUAGAUGUUUU